RNAcentral lists this unclassified non-coding RNA (232 nucleotides) under plant metagenome. Its description in RNAcentral is "partial contains small subunit ribosomal RNA and internal transcribed spacer 1". The stretch from base 1 to 46 matches the Rfam family "Eukaryotic small subunit ribosomal RNA", at positions 1786 to 1831 of the family's 1831-position model. The record is from RNAcentral.
AAGUCGUAACAAGGUUUCCGUAGGUGAACCUGCGGAAGGAUCAUUAGAAAGUCCGGCGCGAGAGCGCCCUGACCUUCAAACCACUGUGAACAAACCGUUGCUUCGCGGCGUGCUCCAGGUCCCCCAUCAGCGGGGGCCCGGCCGCUGUUCAGCCCGGCAGAAGCCCACACCAAAAACCAAUUUUUCCCGUAAACAGUCUUGUCUGAUACAAAUGAAUUAAAAUUCGUUAAAA